Molecule: ribosomal RNA, 497 nt
Filed under: uncultured bacterium
Lineage: Bacteria
Description: partial 16S ribosomal RNA
Rfam family: Bacterial small subunit ribosomal RNA
Source: RNAcentral
GAUGAACGCUGGCGGCGUGCCUAAUACAUGCAAGUCGAGCGAACAGAUGAGGAGCUUGCUCCUCUGACGUUAGCGGCGGACGGGUGAGUAACACGUGGAUAACCUACCUAUAAGACUGGGAUAACUUCGGGAAACCGGAGCUAAUACCGGAUAAUAUAUUGAACCGCAUGGUUCAAUAGUGAAAGACGGUUUUGCUGUCACUUAUAGAUGGAUCCGCGCCGCAUUAGCUAGUUGGUAAGGUAACGGCUUACCAAGGCCACGAUGCGUAGCCGACCUGAGAGGGUGAUCGGCCACACUGGAACUUGAACACGGUCCAGACUCCUACGGGAGGCAGCAGUAGGGAAUCUUCCGCAAUGGGCGAAAGCCUGACGGAGCAACGCCGCGUGAGUGAUGAAGGUCUUCGGAUCGUAAAACUCUGUUAUUAGGGAAGAACAAAUGUGUAAGUAACUAUGCACGUCUUGACGGUACCUAAUCAGAAAGCCACGGCUAACUACGUG